Long non-coding RNA from Myripristis murdjan (pinecone soldierfish), 623 nucleotides. RefSeq lists it as uncharacterized. The record is from RefSeq and is a predicted model, not a curated record. The transcript is spliced from 2 exons. Lineage: Eukaryota; Metazoa; Chordata; Actinopteri; Holocentriformes; Holocentridae.
GGUUGAUGGGCUGCCCUGGUGAUUUCUCCUGCUGUGAGCUGCCAAUUGAGCUGUGUGGCCCCAGUUGGGAACAAGACAUGAGUUCUCCCUCCAGCAGAGGUUUGAGUCUGUUCUAGGACUGGUAAGUAGGGUGCUUGGUGGCACCUGAGGUAAAUUUAUUAGAUAUAUAUACUGUAGCACUGUAGGAUAACCAUUGUGUUUUCUCAUAGGUUCCUGCAGUUGCUGUUUUCUGCCUCCCAGUUUUUGAUAUGUUGUCCAUGUGAACCUCUGGUAUACCUGCUGUCGUUCUUAAGAUAAUUCUUGUACUUUUAUUGGAGUGUUGUGUUUUUCACAGGUUGUGAGUGCCGCCAGGUGGGGUCAGCCACCCGGGUGAGGUCCCCUUCACUGUGUUGCUGUGGCUUGGAGCACUGGGCACCUUUUUUUCUCUUUUGUUUUAGUUUGCUGUGUGUGUGUGUGAGUGUAUGCACCCCCGGACACUCUUCCCCUUUAAAACCUGCCCCCAUCUUUUCGGCGGCCUCAGCCAUAACCUUGUUCCAGUGUGUUUUAGUGGCACAUGAUAUUUUUAGCUUGUGGAUCUGUUUAAAAUAAUUGCUCAUUGUAAUAAAAUAUAUCUUUAUACGUAC